AGAGUUUGAUCCUGGCUCAGGACGAACGCUGGCGGCGUGCUUAACACAUGCAAGUCGAACGAUGAAGCCCUUCGGGGUGGAUUAGUGGCGAACGGGUGAGUAACACGUGGGCAAUCUGCCCUUCACUCUGGGACAAGCCCUGGAAACGGGGUCUAAUACCGGAUAACACCUGCCUGGGCAUCUGGGUGGGUUAAAAGCUCCGGCGGUGAAGGAUGAGCCCGCGGCCUAUCAGCUUGUUGGUGAGGUAGUGGCUCACCAAGGCGACGACGGGUAGCCGGCCUGAGAGGGCGACCGGCCACACUGGGACUGAGACACGGCCCAGACUCCUACGGGAGGCAGCAGUGGGGAAUAUUGCACAAUGGGCGAAAGCCUGAUGCAGCGACGCCGCGUGAGGGAUGACGGCCUUCGGGUUGUAAACCUCUUUCAGCAGGGAAGAAGCGAAAGUGACGGUACCUGCAGAAGAAGCGCCGGCUAACUACGUGCCAGCAGCCGCGGUAAUACGUAGGGCGCAAGCGUUGUCCGGAAUUAUUGGGCGUAAAGAGCUCGUAGGCGGCUUGUCACGUCGGGUGUGAAAGCCCGGGGCUUAACCCCGGGUCUGCAUUCGAUACGGGCUAGCUAGAGUGUGGUAGGGGAGAUCGGAAUUCCUGGUGUAGCGGUGAAAUGCGCAGAUAUCAGGAGGAACACCGGUGGCGAAGGCGGAUCUCUGGGCCAUUACUGACGCUGAGGAGCGAAAGCGUGGGGAGCGAACAGGAUUAGAUACCCUGGUAGUCCACGCCGUAAACGGUGGGAACUAGGUGUUGGCGACAUUCCACGUCGUCGGUGCCGCAGCUAACGCAUUAAGUUCCCCGCCUGGGGAGUACGGCCGCAAGGCUAAAACUCAAAGGAAUUGACGG
This 893-nucleotide ribosomal RNA is filed under the name uncultured bacterium. Its description in RNAcentral is "bacterial SSU rRNA". It matches the Rfam family "Bacterial small subunit ribosomal RNA", at positions 8 to 916 of the family's 1533-position model. The record is from RNAcentral.